Long non-coding RNA from Triticum aestivum (bread wheat), 2707 nucleotides. RefSeq lists it as uncharacterized. The transcript is spliced from 4 exons. The record is from RefSeq and is a predicted model, not a curated record. Lineage: Eukaryota; Viridiplantae; Streptophyta; Magnoliopsida; Poales; Poaceae.
CCGCCCCCUCCCAUCCCCUCCCCUACCUCGCGUCUCUCUGCCUGUCUCGCACGAUGUGUGCCCCAUCAUGCGCCGUCGAAAUUUCAGUUGCGGGAAGGGAGGAGUAUACAAUUUCGGCGGCGCCGCCGGCACGCAUCUGGUUAUCCCUGUCGCCGCCCCCCUUACGCUCUCACGGAGAGGACGGAGUGAGGCGCAUGCGACCUGGGCUCUCUCCUCCUCCCCGAUCUCUCCUUCUCUCUACCGACCGGCGAACAUGUGGUGCGCCGCCGCCGUCUUGGCGCUUAAGCCGGGGAGUUCGGCUUCUUCCCUCCCCUUCGCGUCCCAGAUUCCUUGUGCCGCCACGACGACCACCACCUCCUGUUCUUCAUGCCACACACAAGCUGGGCGGUGCCCCUCGAAGCCCCCCUUGGACGGUUGGAUCCAUCACCUCGAAUCCGCUUCACCACCACAUCACUGUUGGAUUUGAGACUUAAGCUCAGAUUGGAUUUUAUGGAUUACUUUGGAAACUCAUGUACAGAUCAUGUUAGUUAGAAAUAUUGUCACACUUAAUAUGACAAUUCGAUUGUUAGAUUUUUAUUUUUAGAUUAGUUAGUCAAUGCAUCAAAAAGAUUUUGUAAUCUGUUGUUGAUAAUGGUGGAUAUCUGAUCAUGUUAGUUAGAAAUAUGGUCGCACUUAAUAUGACAAUUCGAUUGUUAGAUUUUGCUUUUUAGAGUAGUUAGUCAAUGCAUCGAAGAGAUUUUGUAAUCUGUUGUGCACCAUAUAGGAAAUUUCGUAAUGUGUACUGACUGCAAGAAGGCCUGAAAUUUUCUUAAUGUGUCCUGGCUGCAGGAUGGCUUCUUGAUGCUCUAACUGGAAGUUAUGCCCUUUCAAAAUGAAAAGGAUACUUGGAAGGCUGGUGCAUUUUGAUCUAGAGAACAAAGCCAUACAAGAUGAAAAGCAAAAUCAAGGACCCUUCCACAAGUGCCAUAGAUCAGGUAAGGAAGCAAAAUUAAAAAUCGAUGCCAAGAGGUGCAAGAUGGAUCAUGGUGAGAAGAACUUGGCCACAAUGAAGCCAAAGGUGGAUAGAGGACGGGGAUCAUGAAAAUGUAGCGAACCUUUUGCAUAAGGAACAGGCCAGGAGGUCGAGCGCACGCUUUCCUCGGUUUCGAAUCAAGGGGAUAGCCUUGCUUUUGUGCCGGCGUUUCUAUUUCAGUGCGCCUCUGUUAGGUAACUUCAAUAAGCUUGUUAGCUUCUGUUAGAUCCUUAGCUAAUUACAUUUGUCAUGGAUUUAUUAGUGUACUUGUACAACUUGGUUCAUGAGUAGUACUGGUCGAUUUUUGGUUCUCUAUGUUGUUGACAUGGCAUGUUUGUUCGUACGUUUUAAUGCUCUAUGCAUAUUAGAGCCUAAAUAAUAUGGUUGGAAGUACUUAUUAUGUUAGCACUUUAUUAUGUUGCUCCUGAAUUUCCUCAUAGAUGCUAUCACAGAAGCUAAUGCCUGGAGUAUAUAUGUCACCGUACAUAUCCUCCUUUGUGGCAGCAUCUUUUUUUUUGAGAAUGUGGCAGCAUCUUCUUUGCGCAUAUGCGGAAUCUGGCACCCUAAGGAAUAACAUUGUCCUUUGGCAGAAGCAGAGGAUUUUGUUAAAUGCUUUCUAUAUAAAGAUUCACAUAGAAGGAUGCCUGCAACACAAACUUGAAAUGAGUUUCAAUCUGUCUAUAUGGAUCUAGCUUAAACUAAUGUCGUUACUAGUAUCACAUAUGUUCUUUAGGUCACCCAUGGAUCAGAAAUACAAUUACUUUAAAAUGCCAUUGGUUAUAUUCUGUCUUAUCAAAGCUUAAACUCCUUCAUCAUCAUUACGUAAAGAUGCUUUGAUGGUCCGCAUUGAUGAAAUUUGUUCUAAUAUUUCUUCUGUUGUUCCACAGAGAAGUUGCUUCUUCAAGUUUGAACUUGCAUCGUUCUAUGUGACAAUUUUUUUUAUGGUUGUUCCAUAACCUCCCUGUUUUCAUAAAUGGUUAAUCAGUUUCAUUUCCACGUUUCUCAUAGAACAUCUUGAUCAAAAUUACCGUAUAUGCCUACAAUCUUCAUAAGUAUUUAUUUGGGAGCCUAUGUUUUUGUACUUCUGAUUUUAAGUACCAUAAUAGAAUGCUUGGACAGCUCUCAAACUCUGAUCUAUUUUGGAAUCAAUUUAUUUGCACUUCAAAGUGGCACCCACAAAUGUUUCUUUUGACACAUGUGAGUGAUCAAUUUAGUUUUUAUUAUCUUCAAGUUCCAGCUAUUGAUGUAUGAUAUUUCUUGAUAGGCUUUGUCGACCUAGACUGUUGAUGAGCCUUUUCUAUCUGAGAAUGCAGUAUUCUUCAUUGGAGCUUGAUAGAAAUGGAUGUAUAUUUGCUGCAUUGAGACCGUGUAUCCAUAGGUCAACAAGGAUCUGAGUAGAGAGCCCCUGUGGAGCUGACCUUCUACACAACACGACACUCAUCAUAUCUUCCAUUUUCCCUUUCUUCCUCUGUUAUUUCGACAUCUUUGUUCUUUCCAUUUUUUCUUGUUAUUCGCCGUAUAGGUCAAUUGCUUAGGCCUUUUGAGUUUUCGUGACUGACAUAUUUCCAUAGGCGGUGAUCCAAGUGAAAUUUGUAAUUAGCAUCUUUCUAGAGCAUUGUAGAUAAUCAUGUUCAGAUAUUGUCUUAUGGAAAAUUGAUAUUUCUUUAUUUUUAUUAGAACCUGUUUGGUUGCUGC